CGACGCUACCCUGCAGCCUGCAUGCUCUGCAGCCAGAAGUGUGCACAAACUCAUGCACGCAGGUGCUGCUGGCACGGCACGGCACGGAGCAGCCCUGCAGUACACGCUGCUGAGCCGCUGCACCUUCCCCAGCACAUCCCGCUCUGGCACCAGUUCCCAAACUGGUAGGGCUGGGAAGGGUGCCUUUGGCGAUGGGUGCCAGGACGGCAGCGGCACCCGGCUCUCCCGCAGAGGGUCUCCAAUCUAGGAGCUGUAAAGUUAGCGUGCAAGUGGAACGAGGACUGCUCGAACAAGGCUGAAGAACAAGAAAAUCAGGCAGAGAAAAAGAAGCAUGCUUUCCCCUUACCUAUUGCCUCUGCUCAAACACCGGGCAGUGUCUUUAGAGAGCCCGGGCAUUUGGACCCACAGGGCAGAGGACUUUCGGCACGUGCACCCAGAGCCCGGCAAAAGCCAUCUUCUCCCUGUCUCUUAGCACAGUGCAAGCCUCCAGCAGCUCAGCUCUCCAGCUGCAAACAUCUCAUUAGACUAAUGCAUUCAGCACAGGCAGAAAACUCGAUUUACCAUAGCUACAGCAAUGAAUUUCCAUUACGAUGACAGCUUCAACCACAUCAUGUCCGGAAAACCAGCCAACCACUGCCUUUUAAAGAACACACACAUUUUACACGCAGAAAACGAGGGCCCGUGUGCCGUGUCUCCUUUCUCUUCCCGGCUAAACGGAGAAAAAAUUGCCAUGUCUGUAUAGUUCAGAGCUCUGCAAGCCAAAAGGUAAAGGCAGCCGGACUUUUUUUUCCCACAUAGCAGCAGCUUUCGCAGCAACGUGCGGUGCGGUGCAACGAGCAGAACGGGUGCUUGCAACAUUUCUACAUUUUACCUACCCCUCCUCUGUUGCCAUAGAAACCAGCCUGUAUCAUCAUCCCUUUGUCCCGAUCCUGCAGCAAUGUGGCCCAACACCGAGCUAACGCGAUGGGCAGGACCGGGCGCUCCAGUUUCGGACAAAUUAAACGCAAACUGGGGGAAAGGCGCUUGGGACCUUUUUGCCGGGAACACCAGGAGCGCGUGGGUACUGCAGUGCUCACACUCGCACAUCUGCACACACGUACACGGAGCCUGGAGCUCAAAGAUAUAUCUCACAGGGGAGUUACCAGUGACCCAUCACCACAGAUGGUGGGAUGAGCAAGCAGACGAGGAAGGAGGAGAGGAAAAGCAAGGCACCCUGACUCCUGGACCCUUCCCAUCAGUACCAGAGGAGGCUCUGGUUCUGGAGCCGUCCCCAGCUGCGGGGAGGAGGGCAUCCAUCCACCUGUGGGAUGGCCGAGUGCUUGGCUCUCUCUUAAAAGAGGAAAGCUUUGUACCCCUAAAGAUAAAAGAAUUGAGGUUUGGAGAAUCAAGGCAGCAUUUUUCUUUUUUGUUUCUUUUUUUGUUUGUUUCUGUUUUUGCUUUUGUUUGCAUUCAACAGAUAAUCUUAGGUGUGAAAAAUAUAUUAUCAGCAGAGAACUGGAACAACCAUUUUCUGUCUUCCUCUGCUGGUGUCUGAAACCUGUGGUGCUUGCAAAGGCACUAGGUAAGGAAGCACAGCUCAGCCUUCGUCCCGGCAAAGUUCUGCAAUCCCUCUUUCUUCCUCUUCUCUUUAUUUCCAAAAAAUCAGGGCCAGUGGGCCAGCACUCACAGAUUCCCCGAUAAGAAUAAAAUGGAAUGUGGCUGUCA
Long non-coding RNA from Anser brachyrhynchus (Pink-footed goose), 1704 nucleotides. Lineage: Eukaryota; Metazoa; Chordata; Aves; Anseriformes; Anatidae. The record is from Ensembl.